GGGCUUGACUGGUUUUGACAGCGGGCAGGAGUGAUUCGCAAGCAUGCAGUGCGUCGUUGUCCGGCACUAUAAUAUCGGGUGACAGAAGUUAAUUGGCGAAAAUAAUUACGCUCUCGCGGCUUGAUCGAAGUAUAGUAGAUCAGCUUAAUUCCCGUACAGGUUACGGGGACGAGACAUCACCCGGCGCCGUUGUUCCGAGGCUAACUGAUAAGGUGGUGCUAUUGUAUCGGAGACCGUCCGUUAGCGUUCCCUGCGAGCGGAUUAAAAUUUGAAGGGAAUAGAUUUGACGUAGGUAGCCUUGGUCCGGCGUCAGGUUGAAUUUCAAGCGAGGCUAAGCAUGUAGAAACCGUAUUAGUUCCCCGUUUGGACGAGGGUUCGAUUCCCUCCAGGUCCACGA
Molecule: transfer-messenger RNA, 397 nt
Filed under: Dysgonamonadaceae bacterium
Lineage: Bacteria; Pseudomonadati; Bacteroidota; Bacteroidia; Bacteroidales; Dysgonomonadaceae
Rfam family: transfer-messenger RNA
About the family: Bacterial tmRNA, also known as 10Sa RNA or SsrA, is named for its dual tRNA and mRNA-like properties. Its role is to liberate the mRNA from a stalled ribosome.
Source: RNAcentral